AGUGAACGCUGGCGGUAGGCCUAACACAUGCAAGUCGAACGGCAGCACAGUAAGAGCUUGCUCUUACGGGUGGCGAGUGGCGGACGGGUGAGGAAUACAUCGGAAUCUACUUUUUCGUGGGGGAUAACGUAGGGAAACUUACGCUAAUACAGCAUACGACCUACGGGUGAAAGCAGGGGAUCUUCGGACCUUGCGCGAUUGAAUGAGCCGAUGUCGGAUUAGCUCGUUGGCGGGGUAAAGGCCCACCAAGGCGACGAUCCGUAGCUGGUCUGAGAGGAUGAUCAGCCACAUGGGAACUGAGACACGGUCCAGACUCCUACGGGAGGCAGCAGUGGGGAAUAUUGGACAAUGGACGCGAGCCGGAUCCAGCCAUACCGCGUGGGUGAAGAAGGCCUUCGGGUUGUAAAGCCCUUUUGUUGGGAAAGAAAAGCAGCAGGUUAAUACCCCGCUGUUCUGACGGUACCCAAAGAAUAAGCACCGGCUAACUUCGUG
RNAcentral lists this ribosomal RNA (492 nucleotides) under uncultured bacterium. RNAcentral describes it as "partial 16S ribosomal RNA". It matches the Rfam family "Bacterial small subunit ribosomal RNA", at positions 29 to 507 of the family's 1533-position model. The record is from RNAcentral.